This 68-nucleotide transfer RNA is filed under the name Sphaerodactylus townsendi. RNAcentral describes it as "tRNA-Trp". The record is from RNAcentral. Lineage: Eukaryota; Metazoa; Chordata; Lepidosauria; Squamata; Sphaerodactylidae.
ACAUAUCUUAGUGGUAGAACUUUUGAUUCCAAAACAAAAGGUCCUUGCUUCAAAUCCAAGUAUAUGUA